GACGAACGCUGGCGGCGUGCUUAACACAUGCAAGUCGAACGAAGAGCGAUGGAAGCUUGCUUCUAUCAAUCUUAGUGGCGAACGGGUGAGUAACGCGUAAUCAACCUGCCCUUCAGAGGGGGACAACAGUUGGAAACGACUGCUAAUACCGCAUACGAUCUAAUCUCGGCAUCGAGGAUAGAUGAAAGGUGGCCUCUACAUGUAAGCUAUCACUGAAGGAGGGGAUUGCGUCUGAUUAGCUAGUUGGAGGGGUAACGGCCCACCAAGGCGAUGAUCAGUAGCCGGUCUGAGAGGAUGAACGGCCACAUUGGGACUGAGACACGGCCCAGACUCCAACGGGAGGCAGCAGUGGGGAAUCUUCCGCAAUGGACGAAAGUCUGACGGAGCAACGCCGCGUGAGUGAUGACGGCCUUCGGGUUGUAAAGCUCUGUUAAUCGGGACGAAAGGCCUUCUUGCGAAUAGUUAGAAGGAUAGAACGGU
RNAcentral lists this ribosomal RNA (480 nucleotides) under Veillonella parvula. Its description in RNAcentral is "bacterial SSU rRNA". It matches the Rfam family "Bacterial small subunit ribosomal RNA", at positions 28 to 476 of the family's 1533-position model. Lineage: Bacteria; Bacillati; Bacillota; Negativicutes; Veillonellales; Veillonellaceae. The record is from RNAcentral.